UGAGGAAUAUUGGUCAAUGGCCGAGAGGCUGAACCAGCCAAGUAGCGUGCAGGACGACGGCCCUACGGGUUGUAAACUGCUUUUGCGGGAGGAUAAAGUGCACUACGUGUAGUGCUUUGCAGGUAUCCCGUGAAUAAGGACCGGCUAAUUCCGUGCCAGCAGCCGCGGUAAUACGGAAGGUCCGGGCGUUAUCCGGAUUUAUUGGGUUUAAAGGGAGCGUAGGCUGGAGAUUAAGCGUGUUGUGAAAUGCCGCGGCUCAACCGUGGCACUGCAGCGCGAACUGGUUUCCUUGAGUGCGCUGAAAGUGGGCGGAAUUUGUGGUGUAGCGGUGAAAUGCUUAGAUAUCACGAAGAACUCCGAUUGCGAAGGCAGCUCACUGUAUCGCGACUGACGCUGAAGCUCGAAAGUGCGGGUAUCGAACAGGAUUAGAUACCCUGGUAGU
Molecule: ribosomal RNA, 442 nt
Filed under: uncultured Prevotella sp.
Lineage: Bacteria; Pseudomonadati; Bacteroidota; Bacteroidia; Bacteroidales; Prevotellaceae
Description: bacterial SSU rRNA
Rfam family: Bacterial small subunit ribosomal RNA
Source: RNAcentral